This is a non-coding RNA of Mycena maculata, 92 nucleotides long. Lineage: Eukaryota; Fungi; Basidiomycota; Agaricomycetes; Agaricales; Mycenaceae. The record is from the annotation of a GenBank genome assembly.
GACCCUAUGGUCUAGUGGUAUGACGCCCGCGUAAACAUACUCCAUUUACUUGUUUUUCCGGGAGGUACCCCGUUCGAAUCGAGGUAGGGUCG